CAUAAUGCUAUGAAAAGAAGAGUAAUAAAGUUAAGUGUUUUAAAGAGAGCUAGAUUAGGUGAAAGCUAGUAGCAUAAAGCUUUAUGAAUAUGGCCUUGGAGCAGACCUUUUGAGCAAAAGUGAGGAAGGUACGGGAGCAACCGAUAUAUUGCAGGGUGAUAAAAGCUUUUUGCCAGUCACUUAAUGAGGUACUUAUUGUGAAAUAAGUAUAAAAUAGAGUGGUAACACGUAUAUAACGUCUCUAUA
RNAcentral lists this non-coding RNA (246 nucleotides) under Clostridium argentinense. RNAcentral's name for it is "T-box sequence". It matches the Rfam family "T-box leader". From Rfam's summary of the family: Uncharged tRNA acts as the effector for transcription antitermination of genes in the T-box leader family. T-boxes are found upstream of many aminoacyl-tRNA synthetase genes and some amino acid biosynthetic genes usually in Gram-positive bacteria. The record is from RNAcentral. Lineage: Bacteria; Bacillati; Bacillota; Clostridia; Eubacteriales; Clostridiaceae.